RNAcentral lists this ribosomal RNA (475 nucleotides) under uncultured bacterium. RNAcentral's name for it is "bacterial SSU rRNA". It matches the Rfam family "Bacterial small subunit ribosomal RNA", at positions 310 to 777 of the family's 1533-position model. The record is from RNAcentral.
ACAUUGGGACUGAGACACGGCCCAAACUCCUACGGGAGGCAGCAGUAGGGAAUCUUCGGCAAUGGACGAAAGUCUGACCGAGCAACGCCGCGUGAGUGAAGAAGGUUUUCGGAUCGUAAAACUCUGUUGUUAGAGAAGAACAAGGAUGAGAGUAACUGUUCAUCCCUUGACGGUAUCUAACCAGAAAGCCACGGCUAACUACGUGCCAGCAGCCGCGGUAAUACGUAGGUGGCAAGCGUUGUCCGGAUUUAUUGGGCGUAAAGCGAGCGCAGGCGGUUUCUUAAGUCUGAUGUGAAAGCCCCCGGCUCAACCGGGGAGGGUCAUUGGAAACUGGGAGACUUGAGUGCAGAAGAGGAGAGUGGAAUUCCAUGUGUAGCGGUGAAAUGCGUAGAUAUAUGGAGGAACACCAGUGGCGAAGGCGGCUCUCUGGUCUGUAACUGACGCUGAGGCUCGAAAGCGUGGGGAGCAAACAGGA